RNAcentral lists this ribosomal RNA (705 nucleotides) under Triticum aestivum (bread wheat). Its description in RNAcentral is "partial small subunit ribosomal RNA". The record is from RNAcentral. Lineage: Eukaryota; Viridiplantae; Streptophyta; Magnoliopsida; Poales; Poaceae.
AUGAAUGAUUCUUCUUGGAAAGUAGAUACUGGCCACAAGUCUGGAUAUCUGACCUACAUUGAGAAGGAAAUGGCUAAAGUGCUGCCACAUGCUGAUCUUAAAGCAGAUCCACAUAUCAGGUCUAAAGUUAAGAUUUUGAAGAAGCAACUUUCAUAUGUUCUGGAAAUUAUGCAAAAUGGUAGUGGGUUUGGAUGGGAUGAUGAGAAGAAGAUGGUAACUGGAGAUAGGGAGACGUAUAUGGGCUGGGCAAAGGAAAUAGUAGAAGAUGGAUCAACAGUAGAUGCACAACCUACCAGCAAACCAGCCAAGGAGAAUCUUCCUGAAUUAAAUGAUACAAGCCCAUCCGGUGGUUCUAGGCAUGGUCGUAAGAGAACAUACCCUGAUGAUGAAGCACUUGAGUCAGGUCUUGCAAGUGUGUCGAAUACAAUUGCAAAGUUCUUGGAAGCUGAGCAGGAGAAUGCUAAAACCAUGAAUGGUUUACAGACGGCAUUUAUGCAUGAAUCGCAUGUUCAUGAGCAAACAUCAGCCAAUAGAACCAAGUUACUUGAUAUUCUCCAGAAUCUUAAGGGUCUCACAACCGAAGAGGUUGUAAUGGCUAUCCGUGUCAUUGGUGGCGAUGCUGGAAAGACAGAACUUUUCAUCAAUUUGCGUGAUGAUUACAAAGUGGUGUUUGUUCGUCGGGAGCUUGACGCGGCCAAAAAAUAA